UAGGGAAUAUUAGUAAUGGGCGAAAGCCUGAACUAGCAACACCGCGUGUGCGAAGAAGGCCUUCGGGUUGUAAAGCACUUUUCGGGAGGAUGAGGAAGGACGGUACUCCCGGAAUAAGUCUCGGCUAACUACGUGCCAGCAGCCGCGGUAAAACGUAGGAGGCGAACGUUAUCCGGAUUUACUGGGCGUAAAGCGCGUGUAGGUGGUUUGGUAAGUAGGGCGUGAAAGCUCCCGGCUCAACUGGGAGAGGUCGUUCUAAACUGCCGAGCUAGAGGAUGGUAGAGGGAGGUGGAAUUCCGGGUGUAGCGGUGGAAUGCGCAGAUAUCCGGAGGAACACCAGUGGCGAAAGCGGCCUCCUGGACCAUUCCUGACACUCAGACGCGAAAGCUAGGGUAGCAAACGG
Molecule: ribosomal RNA, 403 nt
Filed under: uncultured bacterium
Lineage: Bacteria
Description: bacterial SSU rRNA
Rfam family: Bacterial small subunit ribosomal RNA
Source: RNAcentral